Lepisosteus oculatus (spotted gar) is the source of this 1030-nucleotide long non-coding RNA. RefSeq lists it as uncharacterized. NCBI's taxonomy places the organism in Eukaryota, Metazoa, Chordata, Actinopteri, Semionotiformes, Lepisosteidae. The record is from RefSeq and is a predicted model, not a curated record.
ACGGAGCGCAGGCCUGCGUGCUGAACGCGGGCCAAGCGACGCGGAGAAGCCGGCCGAGUGAUUUUCUGGGAGGCUCUGCUGGAAUGCCGUGGGCCCGGGCUGUCACGCAGCCGCCGGAGAGGGGAGCCCUGCCCUGAACAGAGCGCCCCUCUCCGACAUCGAUGUGCUCAGCCUCUCAGAAUUGUUUCAUUUCCUUUUCGACGUCUUGAAGAUAUUUUUUCCAAGACUUUCAAAAUGUCUGUUUUUUUAUAUUUUGCAAUUUGGAAAGGGAAUUCUAGCACUAAGUAAUUCUACUUUCAAAAAAGCUUACAUGACGUCGGUCACAUUUGGGAAAAGUGAGGUGUGGAGGGUACCAUCAAAAACUAUGAAAUGUUCGUAACCGAAGAGGAAUUCUCACACAGUUCACGCCGGGAAUGGCAAGAAAACCCACAGAGCUGCAGAAUGACAUUUCUUUUUCACUGCUGGAGUGACGGCGCCCGUAUCUAACAGCAACAACCCUGAUAAGUGACAAACUGACUACGGCUGGGAACAUGCGUUCAGGUGAUGCUGGCGAACACAGACGUGCAGUACUGCCUGUGGGAGAGAUAAGAUGAGGGAUAGGGGUUUAAUAGUUUUCUGUCUGACAAUGUGAUCUUAUCUCUGACCACUGGAAGACACAGUUACCCAUGCAUCUCGCUUCCCUAAAAAGUACACUGCAAUCUUACAAUAGUCUUUUAGCCCAAGGGAUUUACCUAAGAAGGGAUGGCAACCACCACGUAGCCAUGAGUGUUACUCUCUUGAUCAUAAUCAUUAUAAAAUCCUGGAAUUUGAAGUAUAGGUAUGCAUUGGUUUCUCUGUUUAAAUUAUGUUACUUUUCUCCAGUACUCUUAAGGUUUAUUUUUGUGUUCCUGCUCAAAAAAACAUGCAGCCAACAGAUUUUAAAACACACUGUAGUAGAAAACAGCAGUUUUUGAGAUAAAAUAAAUAGCCUCCAUUGUUAGUAGAAACAUGAAGUCACUCUGUAUAAAAUGUAAUUCUUGUAUGACUUUUA